CUCCGGUUGAUCCCGCCGGACCUGACUGCUAUCGGAUUGGUACUAAGCCAUGCGAGUCGUUGUAGCAAUACAAGGCGGACGGCUCAGUAACACGUAGUCAACCUAACCUAUGGACGUGGAUAACCUCGGGAAACUGAGAAUAAACCGCGAUAGAUCAUUAUGCCUGGAAUGGCUUAUGGUUCAAACAAUUUAUUGCCGUAGGAUGGGACUGCGGCCUAUCAGCUUGUUGGUGAGGUAAUGGCCCACCAAGGCUAUAACAGGUACGGGCUCUGAGAGGAGAAGCCCGGAGAUGGGUACUGAGACACGGACCCAGGCCCUAUGGGGCGCAGCAGGCGAGAAACCUUAGCAAUGUGCGAAAGCACGACUGGGUCAGUCCGAGUGAUUCCUGAUAAAGGAGUCUUUUAUCUGUCCUAAAAGCACAGGUGAAUAAGGGGUGGGCAAGUCUGGUGUCAGCCGCCGCGGUAAUACCAGCACCUCGAGUGGUCAGGAGGUUUAUUGGGCCUAAAGCAUCCGUAGCCGGCUACGCAAGUCUCCGGUUAAAUCCAGCUGCUCAACAGAUGGGCUGCCGGAGAUACUACAUAGCUAGGGAGCGGGAGAGGUAGACGGUAUUCUGUGGGUAGGGGUAAAAUCCACUGAUCCAUAGAGGACCACCAGUGGCGAAGGCGGUCUACCAGAACGCGUUCGACGGUGAGGGAUGAAAGCUGGGGGAGCAAACCGGAUUAGAUACCCGGGUAGUCCCAGCUGUAAACGAUGCAAACUCGGUGAUGCAUUGGCUUAUGGCCAAUGCAGUGCCGCAGGGAAGCCGUUAAGUUUGCCGCCUGGGAAGUACGGACGCAAGUCUGAAACUUAAAGAAUUGGCGGGGGAGCA
This 868-nucleotide ribosomal RNA is filed under the name uncultured archaeon. RNAcentral describes it as "bacterial SSU rRNA". It matches the Rfam family "Archaeal small subunit ribosomal RNA", at positions 1 to 878 of the family's 1478-position model. The record is from RNAcentral.